CAUCUAAGUACCCCGAGGAAAAGAAAUCAACCGAGAUUCCCCCAGUAGCGGCGAGCGAACGGGGAGCAGCCCAGAGUCUGAAUCAGCUUGUGUGUUAGUGGAACGGUCUGGAAAGUCCGACGGUACAGGGUGAUAGUCCCGUACACCAAAAUGCACAGGCUGUGAACUCGAAGAGUAGGGCGGGACACGUGGUAUCCUGUCUGAAUAUGGGGGGACCAUCCUCCAAGGCUAAAUACUCCUGACUGACCGAUAGUGAACCAGUACCGUGAGGGAAAGGCGAAAAGAACCCCGGCGAGGGGAGUGAAAAAGAACCUGAAACCGUGUACGUACAAGCAGUGGGAGCACCUUCGGGUGUGACUGCGUACCUUUUGUAUAAUGGGUCAGCGACUUAUAUUCUGUAGCAAGGUUAACCGUAUAGGGGAGCCGCAGGGAAACCGAGUCUUAACUGGGCGUUAAGUUGCAGGGUAUAGACCCGAAACCCGGUGAUCUAGCCAUGGGCAGGUUGAAGGUUGGGUAACACUAACUGGAGGACCGAACCGACUAAUGUUGAAAAAUUAGCGGAUGACUUGUGGCUGGGGGUGAAAGGCCAAUCAAACCGGGAGAUAGCUGGUUCUCCCCGAAAGCU
RNAcentral lists this ribosomal RNA (625 nucleotides) under Klebsiella pneumoniae. RNAcentral's name for it is "partial 23S ribosomal RNA". It matches the Rfam family "Bacterial large subunit ribosomal RNA", at positions 199 to 867 of the family's 2925-position model. Lineage: Bacteria; Pseudomonadati; Pseudomonadota; Gammaproteobacteria; Enterobacterales; Enterobacteriaceae. The record is from RNAcentral.